GACGAACGCUGGCGGCGUGCCUAAUACAUGCAAGUAGAACGCACAGUUUAUACCGUAGCUUGCUACACCAUAGACUGUGAGUUGCGAACGGGUGAGUAACGCGUAGGUAACCUGCCUGGUAGCGGGGGAUAACUAUUGGAAACGAUAGCUAAUACCGCAUAAUAUUAAUUAUUGCAUGAUAAUUAAUUGAAAGGUGCAAUUGCACCACUACCAGAUGGACCUGCGUUGUAUUAGCUAGUAGGUGAGGUAACGGCUCACCUAGGCGACGAUACAUAGCCGACCUGAGAGGGUGAUCGGCCACACUGGGACUGAGACACGGCCCAGACUCCUACGGGAGGCAGCAGUAGGGAAUCUUCGGCAAUGGACGAAAGUCUGACCGAGCAACGCCGCGUGAGUGAAGAAGGUUUUCGGAUCGUAAAGCUCUGUUGCAAGAGAAGAACGGGUGUGAGAGUGGAAAGUUCACACUGUGACGGUAUCUUACCAGAAAGGGACGGCUAACUACGUG
Molecule: ribosomal RNA, 505 nt
Filed under: uncultured bacterium
Lineage: Bacteria
Description: partial 16S ribosomal RNA
Rfam family: Bacterial small subunit ribosomal RNA
Source: RNAcentral